GCUACUAUUACUUUACCAGCCUCGAAAUUUCUGUGUCCUUUAUUCUGGAUUCUACUAAAUUAUGGUUCUGCGGGCCGUAAAAACCCAAUACAGGGAACUCUGUGAACGGCCAUGAACACCCUUUUCGUCGUGGAGACUGGAUCAAUGAUGUUGAAGACCCUAGCUAGUCGGGAUGUUGACCGCUAACAUUGACCGCUUAAAUUUUGCCUUGUGGGCGACAACCGCGCUUCCCUCCAUACGUUGCAUCAAUUUUGACGAACCUUGUUGGCACAACACCCGACAUUUGAUACUGCGACGCGCUUGGGCACGCAUUUUAUGCGGGAACUGUCCUGAGAAAUGAGGAGAUGGCUAAACGUCAUAAGAAAUGUUCAUAUCUCUACAGACAAUGCUACAGUGUGGCAUAUGGAAAAUUACCUUACUCUGUUUGAUUGAUUUGUCACUCCCUAUGCUAAAUACUGGCGAGUUCAUGAUGAAAUACGUUAACCCAAGAUCGACCGUAUGGGUUGUGGCAUGCGAGAAUGUAUUGCUUCUGCUUCCGAAGCCCCUGACCUGUCACAGGCCGAGCACUGUGUUGGUUAUCCAGGGUCAUUCC
RNAcentral lists this small RNA (592 nucleotides) under Histoplasma capsulatum. RNAcentral's name for it is "hypothetical RNA". RNAcentral also lists the same sequence under 1 other name. The record is from RNAcentral. Lineage: Eukaryota; Fungi; Ascomycota; Eurotiomycetes; Onygenales; Ajellomycetaceae.